Molecule: microRNA, 21 nt
Filed under: Heligmosomoides polygyrus
Lineage: Eukaryota; Metazoa; Nematoda; Chromadorea; Rhabditida; Heligmosomidae
Description: hpo-miR-5899b-5p
Source: miRBase by way of RNAcentral
CGGCUAUGUACUGCGUGUGUA